Molecule: RNA transcript, 608 nt
Organism: Larimichthys crocea (large yellow croaker)
Lineage: Eukaryota; Metazoa; Chordata; Actinopteri; Sciaenidae
Gene name: pre-mRNA 3'-end-processing factor FIP1-like
Exons: 2
Source: RefSeq, a predicted model, not a curated record
GAUAAUCAGCAGAUGAAGCACACCUGCCAUUCCUCAGCUCACCUGCCUUCCAUCAAGUCAUCACUCCAACUACAUAUAAACCCUGGCCUUCCUCCCACUCCUUGUCAGAUCGUUUGUUCAGCCUCCGUGGUCCACCACCAUCUUCACCACCUGCUUGCCUGCUCUCCAUCCACCAUCUUCAGACCGUCCAGACUCCGUGCCUCCUCCAUCCAUUCCCACCACUGCUUCACCUCAGCCAUUCCCUCCACCUCGUAUCGGACCCUCUCCUUCCCCUCUUCUCUCACUAACCGUUGUCCAAGCCUGCAUUCUGGGUCAACCUGUGCAACCAUGACACAUUCCCCAUCUCUCUCCCCACAUUUCCUGUCAAAUCUUUAUCUGUGCCUAUCAAUAAAAAACAAAAAGGCCAAAAAAAACAAAACACUGGAUCUGAUCUGAAGAUGACGGUGAACAGAAGAAAAAACCUCUGCUACUUGUUUUAUGUAAUAAAUCAGCCCUAGAAUGAUCAGAAUAUAUGUGUUGAAGAGGCACACAGUCAGAACAUGUCUUUAGCUUUUUUACUGCAUUUUUACACUAGCGCAGAAGCAUACAUAAGCAAGGAAAGGAGAAAA